Molecule: ribosomal RNA, 469 nt
Filed under: uncultured bacterium
Lineage: Bacteria
Description: bacterial SSU rRNA
Rfam family: Bacterial small subunit ribosomal RNA
Source: RNAcentral
AUUGAACGCUGGCGGUAUGCUUAACACAUGCAAGUCGAACGGUAGCAGGCCUUCGGGCGCUGACGAGUGGCGGACGGGUGAGUAACGCGUAGGAAUCUGCCUCAUAGUGGGGGACAACGUGGGGAAACUCACGCUAAUACCGCAUACGCCCCAAGGGGGAAAGGAGGGGAUCUUCGGACCUUUCGCUAUGAGAUGAGCCUGCGUUAGAUUAGCUAGUUGGUAGGGUAAAGGCCUACCAAGGCGACGAUCUAUAGCUGGUUUGAGAGGACGAUCAGCCACACUGGGACUGAGACACGGCCCAGACUCCUACGGGAGGCAGCAGUGGGGAAUAUUGGACAAUGGGCGAAAGCCUGAUCCAGCAAUACCGCGUGUGUGAAGAAGGCCUUAGGGUUGUAAAGCACUUUCAAUUGGGAGGAAAACCUACCGGUCAAUACCCGGUAGCUUGACAUUACCUUUAGAAGAAUACGUG